RNAcentral lists this ribosomal RNA (496 nucleotides) under uncultured bacterium. RNAcentral describes it as "partial 16S ribosomal RNA". It matches the Rfam family "Bacterial small subunit ribosomal RNA", at positions 28 to 506 of the family's 1533-position model. The record is from RNAcentral.
GAUGAACGCUGGCGGCGUGCCUAAUACAUGCAAGUCGAGCGAACAGACGAGGAGCUUGCUCCUCUGACGUUAGCGGCGGACGGGUGAGUAACACGUGGAUAACCUACCUAUAAGACUGGGAUAACUUCGGGAAACCGGAGCUAAUACCGGAUAAUAUAUUGAACCGCAUGGUUCAAUAGUGAAAGACGGUUUUGCUGUCACUUAUCGAUGGAUCCGCGCCGCAUUAGCUAGUUGGUAAGGUAACGGCUUACCAAGGCAACGAUGCGUAGCCGACCUGAGAGGGUGAUCGGCCACACUGGAGCUGAGACACGGCCCAGACUCCGACGGGAGGCAGCAGUAGGGAAUCUUCCGAAAUGGGCGAAAGCCUGACGGAGCAACGCCGCGGGAGUGAUGAAGGUCUGCGGAUCGUAAAACUCUGUUAUUAGGGAAGAACAAAUGUGUAAGUAACGAUGCACGUCUUGACGGGACCUAAUCAGAAAGCCACGGCUAACUACGU